GCCGAUGUGAUUGGAAUGGCAUACAGCGGGGACUUAAAAUCCUACGGCCCUGUAAAAGGGAUUGGGGGUUCAACUCCCCCCAUCGGCACCA
RNAcentral lists this transfer RNA (91 nucleotides) under Prevotella sp. RNAcentral describes it as "tRNA-Leu". It matches the Rfam family "tRNA". From Rfam's summary of the family: Transfer RNA (tRNA) molecules are approximately 80 nucleotides in length. Their secondary structure includes four short double-helical elements and three loops (D, anti-codon, and T loops). Lineage: Bacteria; Pseudomonadati; Bacteroidota; Bacteroidia; Bacteroidales; Prevotellaceae. The record is from RNAcentral.